AGGUCUAUUGUUGUAUUAGCUGGUCUUCUUAGGAUAUUUGGUCGUGAGGUAGCCAAGCUUCCCAUAAUGGCGACAACUAGAGAACACCAAGGGAAAGGCUAUUUCCAAGUAUUAUUUUCAUGUAUAGAGAAGUUGUUGGUUUCCCUGAAUGUGGAAAACAUUAUGCUUCCUGCUGCUGAGGAAGCAGAGUCAAUCUGGACAAACAAGUUUGGAUUCACAAAGAUGAAUGAUGAUUGACUGUCAAAGUAUAUGAGAGAGGUGCAGUUUACAAUUUUCAAGGGAACAUCCAUGCUGGAAAAGGCAGUGCAGCAACAACAACACAUAAUAAUACCACCAGAAUAGCUUAGCAUACAUUGAAAGAUGGGGUUCCUCACUUGGUUGUGUACACUGCAUUCUUUUACUUCUCAAUAUCUUGUUUUAUCCUUGCUAUAAUCCUCACAUCACAUUCCUUUACUACCCUGUGCUAGACUUACCGAAACCAUCAUUC
Humulus lupulus (European hop) is the source of this 487-nucleotide long non-coding RNA. RefSeq lists it as uncharacterized. Lineage: Eukaryota; Viridiplantae; Streptophyta; Magnoliopsida; Rosales; Cannabaceae. The transcript has 3 exons. The record is from RefSeq and is a predicted model, not a curated record.